Haemorhous mexicanus (house finch) is the source of this 1788-nucleotide long non-coding RNA. RefSeq lists it as uncharacterized. The record is from RefSeq and is a predicted model, not a curated record. The transcript is spliced from 3 exons. NCBI's taxonomy places the organism in Eukaryota, Metazoa, Chordata, Aves, Passeriformes, Fringillidae.
CCGCCGGGCACCACGGGGCUCGUAGUCUGGGCUGGGCCCCCGCCGGGGAGCGCGGAGGAAGGAGGAGGAGGGCAGCGGAGGUGAACACCGACGAGCACACAGAGUUCCAGAUGCCGAUCCUCAGAGAAUCCAUGUGUAACAAAGGAUGGAUAAUCUUUUGGCUCAGCUCCAGCCUGGUGGAGCCUGCAUGUGGUUGUUUCAGGCUAAUGUACAAAAAGGGUCCUGCAUUUAUUCUGCCAGAGAAGGAUGUUUGUUUGACUUGCUGCUUUCAAGUUCCACCUGAAGCUGCAGAGCACUGCAAUCUUCAGCUGUUUGUUAAGUGCUGAGUGAUUUGCCUGUGCCAGCGUUGGGAGCACAGGGUGAAGAUGGGGUGUGUAUUUCUGUACUUGGCAGGAACAGGUCUGUAUGGCAGGAUGCUUGGCAUGAGGGGGCAUUAUCUCAUGUGGAGAGGGAGAUUCUUUAUAGGUCUGUGAGCCUUCCUGCAUGGGAAUGAACUGCUGAGGACACUCAUCGCUGUUGCAUUGGGUGGCACCUGGCAUUUUGUCAGAAGCAGAGGGAUUGGAAGGCUCCACGUUCAGUGUGCUCUUCUGUUCAGCCCCAUUUACAGGGGCAGGCAGUUUAAUUGUGAAGAUGUGCCCUGGAAUUUUUGGCAGUACCGUUAUCAGUAAUAAUGAUAAAUUCUUUAUUGGCCACUUAUUUGUGUCCUGCCCCAACUAUUGCACUUUGCUUGCAAGUGAGUGCUGGAAUACUCAUUUUUGGACACAUUGGUUCUUUUUCUAUGCAGCACAAAAAUCAGAUCUUUUGUGGAAACAAAUGCUUGGUAUUUGUUGUACAUUGUGCACUUGGAAUAACUUGCAGUUGAAGGAAAGAUCAGGAUCCUGGAAAAGCAGGAUCCUGAGUCUGAACUCAGCUUGGUCUUGCCUUGCUGAGUGGUAUUAGGUGAGUUACUUGACCCUUUCACUACUUAUCACUCAGUAAACCAUGAAUCAUAAGUUCCACGUAUAAGGAUGUUUAUUAAGACUUUAAGAACAUCUUUACGUGGACAAUCCUGGUGCCACAUUAAGCUGGUGAUGAGGUUUGUAUUUUGUGUAAUUGAUCACCUUACAAUCGCCAGUGUUUUUAACUGCUAUAUUGAUUGACAUUUCUAACAGAUACAGACAAAACUAUAUUCAUGUUCCAGUUAAAUCCUGUAUCACACCCACAUUUUUUUCAGUGCAGUGAUAUUCAAAUAAACCCACAAACCAACCUCAUCAGAAAAGCAAACUGUCCAGCCAACUAGCAAUUAAAUUGACAUAUUUUUUCUUCUGAAAGGCCAUAUUCUUAACUGGCCUCUACUAUCUUGAGCAUAUGUGAGAAAAAAAAAAAAUCAUGGUGUAGUUGCUUGGCCAGCUUUGGGACUUCAUUGCGUUGGUCAUGCAAUGACCAAAGUUCAGCUGGAGGUUUUAUGAUACAACCAGUGAGCAGGAGGUCAGGUUCAGGUUAUGGUUUUGGUCUCCUUCUGUGUUUGUUUUGUUUCUCCACAGACUGGAAGAGAACGAGAAGUGAGAAGCGUUUCAGCUGUUUUCUCCUGCCCAACCCCACUACUUUCAGUCUCCUCCCCUUUCUACCUGGACUCCAAACUGUGAACAACUUUUUGCUUCUUUGUUGCUGUUACAUAUUACAACUUGUGAAAAACCCUGAUUAAUUCUAGCUUUCUUUUAGGGGUUGCUCCCUGUAUCCUCCCAAUUUCUUUUGAGGGGUUAGAAUUCCCUGUAGUCGUCAGAUAAAACCAUCUGUAGUGGACAAAAA